AAUCCUCUGAUUUCACCACAGCAUGUCUGGAGAGAUGCCAGAGCCACGCACAGCCUCCCAAGCACACUUGCAAGGUAAUUAAUAUUUUAUAUUCACAACAAUAAUUUAUCUUCACUUGGCAGGAACUACGAGGACAGCUUCAGGUUCCACUCUCCCCAGUAUGUUACAAUGACGACCCCACGCUGGGAACAGCCACACGGCCCAGAGGUGCCAAGCUGGCACGGAUAUCUCACUCAGCAUUCAGCAUCUAAGCCCUUGGCAAGCCCCAUGGCAGUUGUGCUUGGCUGCUCUUGGAUCUGUCAUGUGGUCAGGCUGCUGAUAGCAGUAGGGUGCUGCGUCCUCUGGGCACCAUUUCACUUUAACACCUGUCUGAUUCAGAGGAAUGCGCGCACAUGGAGAGCAAGAUCCCCACACAAAUCCUCCCAGAGACCCAGAGCACAUGCUCCAUUUGUUACUGGAAGGGGUCGUUUCCUCAGACCCACAAGUGUUUUUUCUUCCUCUCUUCCCCUUCAUAUAUCUGUAUACAACCCUUAGAGGGUCCGACAUCCUGCCGUGCAUUCCACAUGUGUUGGACGUUUGCUUUGUGAACCAGGAAUACAACACACAGCCUUUUUGUACAUAAUGAAAUCUCAUAUUUUACUGGGCUCGCAUAAAGCCAUUUCUUUGUGAAUAAGACUUUAUUUAUUUGUGACAUUUUAACGACCUACAAAUGUUUGCUAUAGAUGAAAGGAAAUGAUUAUUUCCAGGUCACCUUGCAGUAAUACUUUUUGAUGGGCACCAUAAUUCCAAUUAAAUUGAGCACUAAGGGGGGGGGGGAAUCCAACAUUUUAAAGCGCUCCCUGCAAAGUAACUCCAAAAUCACAACAGGUUAGGCCUACGCAGCCCUCCAAGGAAGCCUGGGAGCCCCACGGCCAAGGCGCAGUUGGCUCACAGCGCAGCAUGCUGACAACUCCCAGCACCUCACUCCAUUUGUGCCUGCCCAGCAGCACCGUGGCCAGCCUCACGUUUGUGCUAACAGUGGCCUGCUCUGAUUCAUCCAGGACAUUCUGACACUUCGCACACGGUUAUCGUUGGAUCAGACACUCUCUAAAGACUGUGAAAUAAAUGCAGUUCUUGGGUUGCUAAGUUCACGGUCACUAAAUAACUGCUGUCGCUCACUCAGGCAGGAACACUGUCACAUUGCUCUUGCAAUUGUUGUUUAGCAUCAAGCAAUGGCCCACAGACAACAGCCAAGGCCUGGCUGUUCCAGGCAGAGUACUAACAGAGCACAGCACCUGCCCACCGCACGUAGCUCUGCACUCAGUAGAACUCCUACGUGCGGCCACCCUAGCCAUGCGCCUUUCAAAUGCACACACCUACAGUGUUCUGAGAUCCUCAAAUAAAAAGUAAUAGAAGCUCAAACAUGACUUCACAAUUGGAAGGUCACUGGGGCUGCCUAUGUACAAGAUAGUUUGAAAGGUACUUGAAGAGAAGAUGGGAUGAAGAGCUUACAAAAAUAACUCUCCUCCUACCUUACUCUAGCAUCAGGGCUGUCAAUUUCACUGUGAUUAAAGCACCUGGCUUUUGGAGAAAGGGAGAUGAAAAGGUACUUAGCAGUGAUUUAUUCCUGCUCACAGUCACUCCUUCUCUACACUGAGCCGCCUGGAUACAAUUAGGAAAACAUUCCAUUGGCAAAAGUGGCCUAGAAGAUCACAUUUGGUUACAGAAGAACCCAAAAGACUCAAGACAACACUCUGAAAACCAUCAAAAUGGUCUCUGAGCAUGUUCAUCUAAAUAUUAGUAACUGAAAAUUUUAUAGCAACGUUUUACUUAAUUUUCUUAACAGCAAAGCACUUGGAAAAUAUGAAAAGUUUGGUUCUAGGUAUGUUGCCAAUCUGCUUAUAGGGUCAAAAAAACCACAGUGACAUUCUCUGCUAUUUUCAUAAUACAUCACAUGUCUGACCAAAGGCCACCAAAACCAGUGGAAAUCUUUCAGACUCUUCAGUGGACUUAGGAUCAAGAAAUACUUUCAUUUUCCUGCAGAACAGCUCAAAAGCAACUUAACCACAAAUUCUGCAGAGCAGUGAAUGAAUUUCUACCACUUAAGAACGGAGGAACUCAGAUUCCCAGUCUUCUAUUUAGGAAAAAUGUGUUGGGUUAUUGCAGGAACUAGCCCAUUCCAAGAUGCCAAAACGAUCUGUUUUCUUUCCCAUGAAGCUCAAGUUUCCACCUUUGGCUACGUUCUCUAAACAUGAAGUCCUGCUUUUAACCCAACUCAGUAGGGUAUGCUACAAGGAGAGUGGAAGCACUUUCCUGAGCGUGCACUGAGCUCUCAGCCAAGGCUGCUGUAGAAAGACGCAUCGGUUUCAGAUCGAGACUGACCACUACAAUCACCUUAUCUAACCAUCUCCCUCAUGCAGACCAGGCAGAGAUAAAUAGCUCAAAACUGCACAUUACAGAAUGACAUCCACUCAGCA
Gallus gallus (chicken) is the source of this 2456-nucleotide long non-coding RNA. RefSeq lists it as uncharacterized. The record is from RefSeq and is a predicted model, not a curated record. The transcript has 3 exons. Lineage: Eukaryota; Metazoa; Chordata; Aves; Galliformes; Phasianidae.